CCCGGGUGGCUGCAGUGGGGAAUAUUGGACAAUGGGCGAAAGCCUGAUCCAGCCAUGCCGCGUGUGUGAAGAAGGCCUUCGGGUUGUAAAGCACUUUCAGUGGGGAAGAAAGCCUUGGGGCUAAUACCCUCGAGGAAGGACAUCACCCACAGAAGAAGCACCGGCUAACUCCGUGCCAGCAGCCGCGGUAAUACGGAGGGUGCGAGCGUUAAUCGGAAUUACUGGGCGUAAAGCGCGCGUAGGCGGUCUGAUAAGCCGGUUGUGAAAGCCCCGGGCUCAACCUGGGAACGGCAUCCGGAACUGUCAGGCUAGAGUGCAGGAGAGGAAGGUAGAAUUCCCGGUGUAGCGGUGAAAUGCGUAGAGAUCGGGAGGAAUACCAGUGGCGAAGGCGGCCUUCUGGACUGACACUGACGCUGAGGUGCGAAAGCGUGGGUAGCAAACAGGAUUAGAUACCCCUGUAGUC
Molecule: ribosomal RNA, 463 nt
Filed under: Vreelandella stevensii
Lineage: Bacteria; Pseudomonadati; Pseudomonadota; Gammaproteobacteria; Oceanospirillales; Halomonadaceae
Description: partial 16S ribosomal RNA
Rfam family: Bacterial small subunit ribosomal RNA
Source: RNAcentral